GAUGUACUCCUUCCGUCCGGAAAUACUUGUCAUCAAAAUGGAUAAAAAUAGAUACACCUAGAAUUAAAAUAUGUUUAGAUACACCCUUUUUAUCCAUUUUGAUGACAUGUAUUUCUGGACGGAGGGAGUAGUAC
Molecule: non-coding RNA, 134 nt
Organism: Triticum aestivum (bread wheat)
Lineage: Eukaryota; Viridiplantae; Streptophyta; Magnoliopsida; Poales; Poaceae
Source: Rfam